UACGUAGGUGGCGAGCGUUGUCCGGAUUUACUGGGCGUAAAGGGCGUGCAGGCGGUUUGUUAAGUGCAGGGUGAAAGCUCCCGGCUCAACUGGGAGAGGUCCUUGCAUACUGGCGAACUCGAGGGAGGCAGAGGAAAGUGGAAUUCCCGGUGUAGUGGUGAAAUGCGUAGAUAUCCGGAGGAACACCAGUGGCGAAAGCGGCCACCUGGACUGCACCUGACGCUGACACGCGAAAGCUAGGGGAGCGAACGGG
RNAcentral lists this ribosomal RNA (253 nucleotides) under uncultured bacterium. RNAcentral's name for it is "partial 16S ribosomal RNA". It matches the Rfam family "Bacterial small subunit ribosomal RNA", at positions 524 to 776 of the family's 1533-position model. The record is from RNAcentral.